RNAcentral lists this unclassified non-coding RNA (93 nucleotides) under Gracilibacillus ureilyticus. The record is from RNAcentral. Lineage: Bacteria; Bacillati; Bacillota; Bacilli; Caryophanales; Bacillaceae.
GAUCGCCGUGUGCAAUGAAAGUUGCCUGCAUGGUGAAGGCUCGAAUCGAAAACCACUAUGUAGUGGCAUAAGACGAGAAUAGUAUUAUUCAAC